AGGAUAGAGGCCUACCAUGGUGGUAACGGGUAACGGGGUGUUAGGGCACGACACCGGAGAGGGAGCCUGAGAAACGGCUACCACAUCCAAGGAUGGCAGCAGGCGCGCAAAUUACCCAAUCCCGACACGGGGAGGUAGUGACAAUAAAUAACAAUACGGGGUUCUUUAGGAUCUCGUAAUUGGAAUGAGUACAAUUUAAAUCUCUUAACGAGGAACAAUUGGAGGGCAAGUCUGGUGCCAGCAGCCGCGGUAAUUCCAGCUCCAAUAGCGUAUAUUAAAGUUGUUGCAGUUAAAAAGCUCGUAGUUGAAUUUCGGGGUUAGUAGGUUGGCCAUGCCUCUGGUAUGUACUGGUCUCACUGAUUCCUCCUUCCUUAUGAACCGUAAUGCCAUUAAUUUGGUGUUGCGGGGAAUUUGGACUGUUACUUUGAAAAAAUUAGAGUGUUUAAAGCAAGCUAACGCUUGAAUACAUUAGCAUGGAAUAAUGAAAUAGGACGUUCGAUCUUAUUUUGUUGGUUUCUAGGAUUGACGUAAUGAUUAAUAGGGAUAGUUGGGGGCAUUAGUAUUCAAUUGUCAGAGGUGAAAUUCUUGGAUUUAUUGAAGACUAACUACUGCGAAAGCAUUUGCCAAGGAUGUUUUCAUUAAUCAAGAACGAAAGUUAGGGGAUCGAAGACGAUCAGAUACCGUCGUAGUCUUAACCAUAAACUAUGCCGACUAGGGAUCGGAUGA
Molecule: ribosomal RNA, 726 nt
Filed under: uncultured fungus
Lineage: Eukaryota; Fungi
Description: SSU rRNA
Rfam family: Eukaryotic small subunit ribosomal RNA
Source: RNAcentral